ACGGAGGGUGCAAGCGUUAUCCGGAAUCAUUGGGUUUAAAGGGUCCGCAGGCGGAUGUAUAAGUCAGUGGUGAAAGCCUACAGCUUAACUGUAGAACUGCCAUUGAUACUGUACGUCUUGAAUUCGGUCGAAGUGGGCGGAAUAUGUCAUGUAGCGGUGAAAUGCUUAGAUAUGACAUAGAACACCGAUAGCGAAGGCAGCUCACUAGGCCUGGAUUGACGCUCAGGGACGAAAGCGUGGGGAGCGAACAGGAUUAGAUACCCUGGUAGUCCACGCCGUAAACUAUCAAUACUCGUUUUCGGCGAUAUACGGUCGGAGACUAAGCGAAAGUGAUAAGUAUUGCACCUGGGGAGUACGAUCGCAAGGUUG
RNAcentral lists this ribosomal RNA (369 nucleotides) under uncultured bacterium. RNAcentral's name for it is "bacterial SSU rRNA". It matches the Rfam family "Bacterial small subunit ribosomal RNA", at positions 525 to 896 of the family's 1533-position model. The record is from RNAcentral.